RNAcentral lists this ribosomal RNA (253 nucleotides) under uncultured bacterium. Its description in RNAcentral is "partial 16S ribosomal RNA". It matches the Rfam family "Bacterial small subunit ribosomal RNA", at positions 524 to 776 of the family's 1533-position model. The record is from RNAcentral.
UACGAGAGGCCCAAACGUUAGGCGGAAUCACUGGGCUUAAAGCGUGUGUAGGCGGAUCUGUAAGUACCUUGUGAAAUCCCACGGCUCAACCGUGGAACUGCUUGGUAUACUGCGGGUCUUGAGCCACCUAGGGGCAAGUGGAACAAACAGUGGAGCGGUGAAAUGCGUAGAUAUCGUUUGGAACGCCAAUGGUGAAAACAACUUGCUGGGGGUGUGCUGACGCUGAGACACGAAAGCCAGGGGAGCAAACGGG